Molecule: long non-coding RNA, 101 nt
Organism: Maniola jurtina (meadow brown)
Lineage: Eukaryota; Metazoa; Arthropoda; Insecta; Lepidoptera; Nymphalidae
Exons: 3
Source: RefSeq, a predicted model, not a curated record
UAUUGUUACUAUUUAAAAAAUAUAGUUAAGGGCAGAAAAAUUUAAACUGUUUUGGCCCUUGGAACAUCCUGACAAAAUCAUUACGGCCCUAAGGCUUCAAA